This 253-nucleotide ribosomal RNA is filed under the name uncultured bacterium. RNAcentral's name for it is "partial 16S ribosomal RNA". It matches the Rfam family "Bacterial small subunit ribosomal RNA", at positions 524 to 776 of the family's 1533-position model. RNAcentral also lists the same sequence under 1 other name. The record is from RNAcentral.
UACGAAGGGGGCUAGCGUUGCUCGGAAUUACUGGGCGUAAAGGGCGCGUAGGCGGAUAUUUAAGUCAGGGGUGAAAGCCCGGGGCUCAACCCCGGAACAGCCUUUGAUACUGGAUAUCUUGAGUUCGGGAGAGGUGAGUGGAAUGCCGAGUGUAGAGGUGAAAUUCGUAGAUAUUCGGCGGAACACCAGUGGCGAAGGCGACUCACUGGCCCGAUACUGACGCUGAGGCGCGAAAGCGUGGGGAGCAAACAGG